GGAGAGGUGCCGGAGUGGACGAACGGGGCGGUCUCGAAAACCGUUGUGGUCCUUGCGGGCCACCGUGGGUUCGAAUCCCACCCUCUCCGCCA
This 92-nucleotide transfer RNA is filed under the name Anaerolineae bacterium SM23_ 63. RNAcentral describes it as "tRNA-Ser". It matches the Rfam family "tRNA". Rfam says of the family: Transfer RNA (tRNA) molecules are approximately 80 nucleotides in length. Their secondary structure includes four short double-helical elements and three loops (D, anti-codon, and T loops). Further hydrogen bonds mediate the characteristic L-shaped molecular structure. tRNAs have two regions of fundamental functional importance: the anti-codon, which is responsible for specific mRNA codon recognition, and the 3' end, to which the tRNAs corresponding amino acid is attached (by aminoacyl-tRNA synthetases). tRNAs cope with the degeneracy of the genetic code in two manners: having more than one tRNA (with a specific anti-codon) for a particular amino acid; and 'wobble' base-pairing, i.e. permitting non-standard base-pairing at the 3rd anti-codon position. The record is from RNAcentral. RNAcentral also lists the same sequence under 4 other names. Lineage: Bacteria; Bacillati; Chloroflexota; Anaerolineae.